Molecule: long non-coding RNA, 1176 nt
Organism: Salvia miltiorrhiza (redroot sage)
Lineage: Eukaryota; Viridiplantae; Streptophyta; Magnoliopsida; Lamiales; Lamiaceae
Exons: 2
Source: RefSeq, a predicted model, not a curated record
CCAGCGGGAGGAGACAGGGGCGGCGGCGCGGUGGCCUCUGCCGCUGCUGUGCUGUUCUGGUCGGACAGAGGAAGGAGGUGGCUGGACGGCGAUGACGGCUGCUGCUGUUGUCGGCGAGGAGGAGGAAGGGACGGGGUAGUGGUGCUGGCAGGCGACGAAGGAUCGCCGGAGAAGGCGCGGCCGCGGUUGCGGCUGGUGCGGCGAGGACAGGGGCAGGGGAGGAGGAAGAGAGAUGAGGGAGGAGGGCGAGAAGUGAGGGGUGAGAGGGAAAUAGAAGAAAGGGGGAAGAGAAAGGAGGCCAGAGCCGCCGGCCUCCGGCGAUUGGCUGCCUUCUGGUGGCGGCGGCAGGGGGAGACCGAGGGAGAAAGGGAGAAGGGGAAAUGGGGGCUGCGUGUGUCGGUGGGUGAAUUUAAGUUAGGUGAUUGAGAGAAUGGGCUUGGGCCUAGAAGAGUUUGUUUUUAAAUGGGCGGCAGAUUUCUUUCUAAAUAGGUUGCAAUUGCAUUUGAUUUUAAAUAUCAACCCAUAUUUUCAUAAGAAAAUAUAUUUUACUAUUAAUCUAUUAGACCAAUGAUUUUUAAAGGAUUUUAUAAUAGUAAAUUCUUAAGAUUUAAACUAUUAUUAUUAUUUUAAAGUUUAAUUAGGCCCUUACAUUUUAUUAUCUGAAUUUAUCUGACUAGGUGCGGCGCGACUAGGAUAUAAAUUUUAAUUGAAUUACUCAAGUUAGCAUUCAAGUUGAAGUUCAAGUUCAAAAUUCAGUUAUAUCGCUAGGGGCCCGCUCAAUGGGUCCAGGACUUCACCGUCCUUAGUAUGCCACAAUGCGAUUUCAUGUUACAGUUAAGGUUGCAACCUAUUCGCCAGGGGCCCGCUCAAUGGGUCCAGGACAUUAAAGUCCUUGGUAUGCCACCGUGCGAAUUUCAGUUAUCAGUACAGUACAGUGCAGUGCGUAUGUGUUGACCAUUUUAUUAACGUGGACAAUGAUUGCAUGUUUCCCACACUGAGUGUACUCUGUAUACUCAUUCCAUAUUUAACAUUUUCAGGUUUUUAAAGGUCGGAGGCGCGUGGAAGGUUGAAUGGCGAAUCAAAUGUUUUGAAUUUAGUUUUACUUAAAAAUGUUAUGUUUAGUAAAGUAUUUUAAAAUAAGAUAUUUAUUUCUUAAUUUUUCACAUUAAAUAUCUA